Molecule: ribosomal RNA, 252 nt
Filed under: uncultured bacterium
Lineage: Bacteria
Description: partial 16S ribosomal RNA
Rfam family: Bacterial small subunit ribosomal RNA
Source: RNAcentral
UACGGAGGAUGCGAGUGUUAUCCGGAUUUAUUGGGUUUAAAGGGUGCGCAGGCGGCGUGUCAAGUCAGCGGUAAAAUGUCGGGGCUCAACCCCGGCCGGCCGUUGAAACUGGCGUGCUCGAGUUGGAGAGAAGUAUGCGGAAUUCGUGGUGUAGCGGUGAAAUGCAUAGAUAUCACGAAGAACCCCGAUUGCGAAGGCAGCAUACCGGCUCCACACUGACGCUGAGGCACGAAAGCGUGGGUAUCGAACAGG